Molecule: ribosomal RNA, 484 nt
Filed under: uncultured bacterium
Lineage: Bacteria
Description: partial 16S ribosomal RNA
Rfam family: Bacterial small subunit ribosomal RNA
Source: RNAcentral
AUUGAACGCUGGCGGCAGGCCUAACACAUGCAAGUCGAGCGGAUGAAGGGAGCUUGCUCCUGGAUUCAGCGGCGGACGGGUGAGUAAUGCCUAGGAAUCUGCCUGGUAGUGGGGGAUAACGUCCGGAAACGGGCGCUAAUACCGCAUACGUCCUGAGGGAGAAAGUGGGGGAUCUUCGGACCUCACGCUAUCAGAUGAGCCUAGGUCGGAUUAGCUAGUUGGUGGGGUAAAGGCCUACCAAGGCGACGAUCCGUAACUGGUCUGAGAGGAUGAUCAGCCACACUGGAACUGAGACACGGUCCAGACUCCUACGGGAGGCAGCAGUGGGGAAUAUUGGACAAUGGGCGAAAGCCUGAUCCAGCCAUGCCGCGUGUGUGAAGAAGGUCUUCGGAUUGUAAAGCACUUUAAGUUGGGAGGAAGGGCAGUAAGUUAAUACCUUGCUGUUUUGACGCUACCAACAGAAUAAGCACCGGCUAACUUCGUG